This 763-nucleotide unclassified non-coding RNA is filed under the name Hevea brasiliensis (rubber tree). Lineage: Eukaryota; Viridiplantae; Streptophyta; Magnoliopsida; Malpighiales; Euphorbiaceae. The record is from RNAcentral.
UUUUCAUCUAAGUUUCUUCUUCACUUAAAAGGCUAAAGCUGCUCCAAACGAUUGUCUGUGACCUUCCAAUCCGAAACAUUCCGGUUUCAUGCAUUUCGCUGAUAUAUCGGUUUUCUUUUCCCUUCAUCUUUCUGUGUAGUAGACUGUAAUUGGCGAAGUUAAAGGGAAUCUACUGAUUAAGAUUUUGGUGUGGCAUUUGAAGAGCAAAUUGAUUGAGAUGAAGAUUUAGAGGAAUUUAUGUAUGCUGUGCUUCAAUCAGUAAGAGAAGGCAAAGAAUAAUCAAGGUGAUUCUGCAGAAUCUAAGAGCAAGUAAAGCAUAUCAGGAAUCACCCGAGCUUGAGAUUUCACGAAGAUUAGGUGAGCGAGAGAAACAGAAACAGCAUACGGGGUAGAAACGGAAAAAAAAAAAAGCGAAAAGAAAGGAAUAAAAGAUGUUUACGUGUAUAGCGUGCACAAAGCCUAUGACCGAAGACGGAGAAGACGGAACGCGCGGAAGUGGAACGCCAAGCACCAGGGAAGCCGUCAAAAGCCUGACGGCUCAGAUCAAAGAUAUGGCGUUGAAAUUUUCCAGUCGACAAUGCAAACCCUGCGCAGGCUCAAGCACUUUCAAGAAAGGACAGCGUCCUUACCCUGACUUCGAUAUGGCUUCUGAGGGGGUUCCAUAUCCCUAUUUUGGAGCUGGAAGCUCAAGCUCAACACCUGCAUGGGAUUUUACAAGCACUGGUCCCCAUCGAGGCGUAAGAGCUGACUCAAGAUUUACUGG